GGCCGGUAAACAUUCUUCGUAGUG
RNAcentral lists this non-coding RNA (24 nucleotides) under Arabidopsis thaliana (thale cress). The record is from RNAcentral. Lineage: Eukaryota; Viridiplantae; Streptophyta; Magnoliopsida; Brassicales; Brassicaceae.